Wyeomyia smithii (pitcher-plant mosquito) is the source of this 1178-nucleotide long non-coding RNA. RefSeq lists it as uncharacterized. The transcript has 2 exons. The record is from RefSeq and is a predicted model, not a curated record. NCBI's taxonomy places the organism in Eukaryota, Metazoa, Arthropoda, Insecta, Diptera, Culicidae.
UCGUCAGCGCCAGAUCGACGACACUGGGGUAAAUGAGUUUUAUGAAGGCAAAAGAGGUUAUUAAUCUAAGUAAACAUGUUCUUACCACCCACAAAAAAAAAUCAAAAUCUGUUGUGAAAGUAUUUCCGUUGCAUUAAAACAAUCAAUGUUUGAGAUAUAAAUUCUAGAGUGUAACUAAAAAAAACAGUCUAUUCAUUUUUCUGCUGUAUUUACACUUACACCCCCACGGCUUUGAACGCGCGACUAUCAAUUCCAACGACCAAAUCAGACAGUACAGAUUAGGUGGACACGAGUGGCCUCUUAAGUUGUGAUGUACGACGAGGAAAGCCCAAUCGAAUCCCAUCGUUUGCGUUAGUCGUGCUGGCUAUGCGCGUUUGUAACAAGACAGUUUUCUCGUUGUAGGAAAAAUAAAGUCAUGUCUUUAGAGCAGAUGAACGAUAACCUCCGUGUUUUGCGAUAAAGGCGUUAAUUUAAUCUAUAAAUAAUAAUUGAUGCUACGCGACAGUAUUUUGUCGGAACAAUACAAAAAAAUCUGGUUUGAUCGUUUCGAUUCUGUUUCAACACAUUCAUUUUGGGACACAGCUACUAAGUCGGCUUGUUUUUUGCUUAAACAAUACAGGCCUUAGUGCUACUACAUUCUACUGCACGUACGCAGUAUUAAAUUGUGAGAUAUCACUCAAUUUUGCUACACGCCUAAACCAUGAACGAAGAUGUCAUCGUGAGGCGAGCUAUCGAGUCAAACAUUAGGGAUUUGGAUUUCGUGAUACUGCUGUGCUUUAUUCUAACCAUAAUACUCAUCGCCGUGAUUCUCAGAUUGAUCCUGCAAUUGAUUAGAGUUCGCAUGAUGACUGAGCAGCAGAACCUCAGUGACUUUACCGAUUCGGAAGAGUCCUGGUGGAGUCCGGCAUUAGCUAAUGGCAGGUGACGAUCAGGCAAUCGUUUUAGUAAAUUCUCAUAAAUCGGAUCUUGCUUGAUAUUUCGAAUACGUUUUUCAACUGUGAAUACAACCGAUAUAUUUCAGGUUUGAUUAUUUAGUUAUUUGAGUUAUUAAAAGUUCGGUAAGAUGCUAAGUAAGCCAAGCAAAAAUAGUACUAAACUGAAAAAUCUUCAUUUUUCUAUUUGGUCUAGUUUAGUAUGAUGGAGAUUUAUGAAUAAAAAUAAAGAUUUCAGAAACUAAA